AAACAGACCAAACUUUUAUGAAAGAGCUGGGGGAAAAAACAGAUUCAGAGAGCCUAUCUAUGUAUUGAUUUCAUUGUCUAGAAAGCCUGUUUAUAGUCCUGACUCUAUGCAAGGAUGAGUCCCAGGAUAACAUUUUUCCCUUUUUCACAUUGUGAUUUUUGUGCUGCAGCCCUGGGAUGAUGAAGCUGGACAAUCAAAGGAACAGAGGCUGCAGAUGCUGCAUAGAUGUGACAGACUGGAAUUUAACUUCUAAUGCAGGUUUAUUUAUCCAGAAGAUGCCUUUACAUUCCCGAAGGUCUGAAC
RNAcentral lists this long non-coding RNA (303 nucleotides) under Gallus gallus (chicken). Lineage: Eukaryota; Metazoa; Chordata; Aves; Galliformes; Phasianidae. The record is from RNAcentral.